AACGAACGCUGGCGGCAUGCCUAACACAUGCAAGUCGAACGAGACCUUCGGGUCUAGUGGCGCACGGGUGCGUAACGCGUGGGAACCUGCCCUUAGGUUCGGAAUAACUCCCCGAAAGGGGUGCUAAUACCGGAUAAUGUCUUCGGACCAAAGAUUUAUCGCCUUUGGAUGGGCCCGCGUUGGAUUAGCUAGUUGGUAGGGUAAAAGCCUACCAAGGCGACGAUCCAUAGCUGGUCUGGGAGGAUGAUCAGCCACACCGGGACUGAGACACGGCCCAGACUCCUACGGGAGGCAGCAGUGGGGAAUAUUGGACAAUGGGCGAAAGCCUGAUCCAGCAAUGCCGCGUGAGUGAUGAAGGCCUUAGGGUUGUAAAGCUCUUUUACCCGGGAUGAUAAUGACAGUACCGGGAGAAUAAGCUCCGGCUAACUCCGUG
Molecule: ribosomal RNA, 433 nt
Filed under: uncultured bacterium
Lineage: Bacteria
Description: partial 16S ribosomal RNA
Rfam family: Bacterial small subunit ribosomal RNA
Source: RNAcentral